RNAcentral lists this ribosomal RNA (253 nucleotides) under uncultured bacterium. Its description in RNAcentral is "partial 16S ribosomal RNA". It matches the Rfam family "Bacterial small subunit ribosomal RNA", at positions 524 to 776 of the family's 1533-position model. The record is from RNAcentral.
UACGUAGGCAGCAAGCGUUGUUCGGAGUUACUGGGCGUAAAGAGUGCGUAGGCGGUUUCGUAAGUUUGGUGUGAAAUCUCCCGGCUUAACUGGGAGGGUGCGCCGAAAACUGCGGGGCUGGAGUGUGGGAGAGGCAAGCGGAAUUCCUGGUGUAGCGGUGAAAUGCGUAGAUAUCAGGAGGAACACCGGUGGUGUAGACGGCUUGCUGGACCAUGACUGACGCUGAGGCACGAAAGCGUGGGGAGCAAACAGG